AUUGAACGCUGGCGGCAGGCCUAACACAUGCCAGUCGAGCGGAUGAAGGGAGCUUGCUCCUGGAUUCAGCGGCGGACGGGUGAGUAAUGCCUAGGAAUCUGCCUGGUAGUGGGGGAUAACGUCCGGAAACGGGCGCUAAUACCGCAUACGUCCUGAGGGAGAAAGUGGGGGAUCUUCGGACCUCACGCUAUCAGAUGAGCCUAGGUCGGAUUAGCUAGUUGGUGGGGUAAAGGCCUACCAAGGCGACGAUCCGUAACUGGUCUGAGAGGAUGAUCAGUCACACUGGAACUGAGACACGGUCCAGACUCCUACGGGAGGCAGCAGUGGGGAAUAUUGGACAAUGGGCGAAAGCCUGAUCCAGCCAUGCCGCGUGUGUGAAGAAGGUCUUCGGAUUGUAAAGCUCUUUAAGUUGGGAGGAAGGGCAGUAAGUUAAUACCUUGCUGUUUUGACGUUACCAACAGAAUAAGCACCGGCUAACUUCGUG
This 484-nucleotide ribosomal RNA is filed under the name uncultured bacterium. Its description in RNAcentral is "partial 16S ribosomal RNA". It matches the Rfam family "Bacterial small subunit ribosomal RNA", at positions 30 to 507 of the family's 1533-position model. The record is from RNAcentral.